AGUGAACGCUGGCGGCGUGCUUAACACAUGCAAGUCGAACGAGAACGGAUUAUAGCUUGCUAUAAUUGUCAGCUAAGUGGCGCACGGGUGAGUAAUGUAUAGGUAAUAUGCCUCUUACUAAGGGAUAACAAAUGGAAACGUUUGCUAAUACCUUAUACUCCUUAUUAACAGAAGUUAGUAAGGGAAAGAUUUAUUGGUAAGAGAUUAGCCUGUAUUGUAUCAGUUAGUUGGUGGGGUAAUGGCUUACCAAGACUAUGACACAUAACUGGUUUGAGAGGAUGAUCAGUCACACUGGAACUGAGAAACGGUCCAGACUCCUACGGGAGGCAGCAGUGGGGAAUAUUGCACAAUGGACGAAAGUCUGAUGCAGCAACGCCGCGUGGAGGAUUACACAUUUCGGUGCGUAAACUCCUUUUAUAUGAGAAGAUAAUGACGGUAUUAUAUGAAUAAGCACCGGCUAACUCCGUGCCAGCAGCCGCCGCCG
RNAcentral lists this ribosomal RNA (484 nucleotides) under uncultured bacterium. RNAcentral's name for it is "partial 16S ribosomal RNA". It matches the Rfam family "Bacterial small subunit ribosomal RNA", at positions 29 to 523 of the family's 1533-position model. The record is from RNAcentral.